GGUAAGAUGGCCGAGCGGUCUAAGGCGCUACGUUCAGGUCGUAGUCUCGUAAGGGGCGUGAGUUCGAAUCUCACUCUUAUCA
This 82-nucleotide transfer RNA is filed under the name Cytospora mali. Its description in RNAcentral is "tRNA-Leu (CAG) (tRNA-Leu-CAG-1-1)". It matches the Rfam family "tRNA". Rfam says of the family: Transfer RNA (tRNA) molecules are approximately 80 nucleotides in length. Their secondary structure includes four short double-helical elements and three loops (D, anti-codon, and T loops). Further hydrogen bonds mediate the characteristic L-shaped molecular structure. tRNAs have two regions of fundamental functional importance: the anti-codon, which is responsible for specific mRNA codon recognition, and the 3' end, to which the tRNAs corresponding amino acid is attached (by aminoacyl-tRNA synthetases). tRNAs cope with the degeneracy of the genetic code in two manners: having more than one tRNA (with a specific anti-codon) for a particular amino acid; and 'wobble' base-pairing, i.e. permitting non-standard base-pairing at the 3rd anti-codon position. Lineage: Eukaryota; Fungi; Ascomycota; Sordariomycetes; Diaporthales; Cytosporaceae. The record is from RNAcentral.